RNAcentral lists this ribosomal RNA (1085 nucleotides) under Priestia megaterium. RNAcentral describes it as "bacterial SSU rRNA". It matches the Rfam family "Bacterial small subunit ribosomal RNA", at positions 34 to 1091 of the family's 1533-position model. Lineage: Bacteria; Bacillati; Bacillota; Bacilli; Caryophanales; Bacillaceae. The record is from RNAcentral.
CGGGGGGGGGGUGGCUAAUACAUGCAAGUCGAGCGAACUGAUUAGAAGCUUGCUUCUAUGACGUUAGCGGCGGACGGGUGAGUAACACGUGGGCAACCUGCCUGUAAGACUGGGAUAACUUCGGGAAACCGAAGCUAAUACCGGAUAGGAUCUUCUCCUUCAUGGGAGAUGAUUGAAAGAUGGUUUCGGCUAUCACUUACAGAUGGGCCCGCGGUGCAUUAGCUAGUUGGUGAGGUAACGGCUCACCAAGGCAACGAUGCAUAGCCGACCUGAGAGGGUGAUCGGCCACACUGGGACUGAGACACGGCCCAGACUCCUACGGGAGGCAGCAGUAGGGAAUCUUCCGCAAUGGACGAAAGUCUGACGGAGCAACGCCGCGUGAGUGAUGAAGGCUUUCGGGUCGUAAAACUCUGUUGUUAGGGAAGAACAAGUACAAGAGUAACUGCUUGUACCUUGACGGUACCUAACCAGAAAGCCACGGCUAACUACGUGCCAGCAGCCGCGGUAAUACGUAGGUGGCAAGCGUUAUCCGGAAUUAUUGGGCGUAAAGCGCGCGCAGGCGGUUUCUUAAGUCUGAUGUGAAAGCCCACGGCUCAACCGUGGAGGGUCAUUGGAAACUGGGGAACUUGAGUGCAGAAGAGAAAAGCGGAAUUCCACGUGUAGCGGUGAAAUGCGUAGAGAUGUGGAGGAACACCAGUGGCGAAGGCGGCUUUUUGGUCUGUAACUGACGCUGAGGCGCGAAAGCGUGGGGAGCAAACAGGAUUAGAUACCCUGGUAGUCCACGCCGUAAACGAUGAGUGCUAAGUGUUAGAGGGUUUCCGCCCUUUAGUGCUGCAGCUAACGCAUUAAGCACUCCGCCUGGGGAGUACGGUCGCAAGACUGAAACUCAAAGGAAAUUGACGGGGGCCCGCACAAGCGGGUGGAGCAUGUGGUUUUAAUUUCGAAAGCAACGCGAAGAAACCUUACCAGGUCUUGACAUCCCUCUGACACUCUAGAGAUAGAGCGUUCCCCUUCGGGACAGAGUGACAGGUUGCUGCAUGCUGUCGUCAGCUCGUGUCCGUGGAGAUGUUUAGUUAAGGUCCCCG